Long non-coding RNA from Bubalus bubalis (water buffalo), 416 nucleotides. RefSeq lists it as uncharacterized. The record is from RefSeq and is a predicted model, not a curated record. NCBI's taxonomy places the organism in Eukaryota, Metazoa, Chordata, Mammalia, Artiodactyla, Bovidae. The transcript is spliced from 3 exons.
CAUGGGAGCCUGUUGGGCUGCCGUCUAUUGGGUCGCACAGAGUCAGACAUGACUGAAGCGACUUAGCAGCAGCGGCAGCAGCAGCAGGGAAGUGUCUUGAGGAAAUACCAGCAGCCUAUCACUUGUCACAUGAAAAAGCCUGAGAUAAUAAUCCACCUAGUGAGAGGCAGAACUGAGAAGCAGAGACACAUCACACCCAGAUUUCAGAUAAACUAUCUCUCAACCCUCCACCAAGUACCAGAAGAUAAUAAAAAGUGUUAAAUCAUUUGACUGGCCAUGUCCAGGAUUAAAUAAGGGUCAAAUCUUACCCAAACUUGAAAACCUGGCUCUAAAACCAUCUUCAUGAAGGCUCAUUACAACUCCAUGAAGUAUCUUCCUCCUUGAACCCCACAUUUUUACUUCAAACUUCUCAUGUG